UACGGAAGGCAGCAGUGGGGAAUAUUGCACAAUGGGCGAAAGCCUGAUGCAGCUAUGCCGCGUGUAUGAAGAAGGCCUUAGGGUUGUAAAGUACUUUCAUCGGGGAGGAAAAACAAAACUAAUAAUUUUAUUUCUUGACGUUACCCGAAAAAGAAGCACCGGCUAACUCCGUGCCAGCAGCCGCGGUAAUACGGAGGGUGCUAGCGUUAAUCAGAAUUACUGGGCGUAAAGAGCACGUAGGUGGUUUUUUUAAGUCAGAUGUGAAAUCCCUGGGCUUAACCUAGGAACUGCAUUUUGAAACUGAAAUACUAGAGUAUCGUAGAGGGAGGUAGAAUUCUAGGUGUAGUGGUGAAAUGCGUAGAUAUCUGGAGGAAUACCUGUGGCGAAAGCGGCCUCCUAAACGAAUACUGACACUGAGGUGCGAAAGCGUGGGGAGCAAACAGGGAUUAGAUACC
Molecule: ribosomal RNA, 455 nt
Filed under: uncultured bacterium
Lineage: Bacteria
Description: bacterial SSU rRNA
Rfam family: Bacterial small subunit ribosomal RNA
Source: RNAcentral